RNAcentral lists this ribosomal RNA (345 nucleotides) under uncultured bacterium. RNAcentral's name for it is "bacterial SSU rRNA". It matches the Rfam family "Bacterial small subunit ribosomal RNA", at positions 9 to 346 of the family's 1533-position model. The record is from RNAcentral.
GAGUUUGAUCGUGGCUCAGGAUGAACGCUGGCGGCGUGCUUAACACAUGCAAGUCGAACGAGAGAAGAUUGGUGCUUGCACUGAUCCGAUCGAGUGGCGGACGGGUGAGUAACGCGUGGGUAACCUGCCUCAUACAGGGGAAUAACAGUUGGAAACGGCUGCUAAAACCGCAUAAGCGCACGGUAUCGCAUGAUACAGUGUGAAAAACUCCGGUGGUAUGAGAUGGACCCCGCGUCUGAUUAGCUAGUUGGUGAGGUAACGGCCCACCAAGGCAACGAUCAGUAGCCGGCCUGAGAGGGUGAACGGCCACAUUGGGACUGAGACACGGCCCAAACUCCUACGGGA